This 85-nucleotide ribosomal RNA is filed under the name Lacticaseibacillus rhamnosus. Its description in RNAcentral is "Lactobacillus rhamnosus partial 16S ribosomal RNA". It matches the Rfam family "Bacterial small subunit ribosomal RNA", at positions 1 to 82 of the family's 1533-position model. Lineage: Bacteria; Bacillati; Bacillota; Bacilli; Lactobacillales; Lactobacillaceae. The record is from RNAcentral.
UAUUUAUAUGAGAGUUUGAUCCUGGCUCAGGAUGAACGCUGGCGGCGUGCCUAAUACAUGCAAGUCGAACGAGUUCUGAUUAUUG